Anneissia japonica is the source of this 2850-nucleotide long non-coding RNA. RefSeq lists it as uncharacterized. The record is from RefSeq and is a predicted model, not a curated record. The transcript has 2 exons. NCBI's taxonomy places the organism in Eukaryota, Metazoa, Echinodermata, Crinoidea, Comatulida, Comatulidae.
AUAUGGUUGCAAUGAAAAUAUAACCAAUUUAAAAAAAUGGAAAAUGUAUGAUAUAAUAAAGACUAAUUAAUUGAUAAAUGUACAUGUGAACUGUGUGAAUUGCAAGAAGAUAUCAUUAACAAUAUUUUCUUCAUACUGUAUAACGGUUUGUUGCAAAUCAUAUGUCUGUAUGACAAUAAUAUGUAUCGCAGUAAUAUGAAUUAUACAUGCUUUGUAUUAAAUGAUACACUGAUACUCAAAUUUUCUAUGCAAUCAAGUAACAGGUACACACAUUAUCUGUGCAUGUUUUUUUCUGUAUUUUGUGUUUUUUAUUAGAUGUGUAAAAAGCAGUGGGGAUGAACAGGAAAUUUGUUAUUUAAAAGAAAAUGUUAUGCAACAAGAACUAAAAUCUUGUAAAUUUUCAAAAAUGUUUGAUAGUCAUGAUAGUAGGCCUAUGUGCUUUAAAUGUUUUUAUGAACUGAAUAAUUAGACCAAAUGUACAAAAAAGUAGAUUCAAUUUAGAAUACUUUCUUUGUAGUAUAUAUUUCAUAUGACACUUUACAAUUAGACUUUCCAGUUAUUACAUUGACAUCAAGGUAUACUCAUGCCAUCACUGGUGAACCAAGACUUUGCACUUAAAGUUUAAAAUAUUAAUUGAUUUGGUAGUCAGACAGAAACGCUUGGUAUAACUAACUGAAUUCUCUCUGUCCUGAUUGCUGUAGAUAUUCACUGUGCAUGUACUGCUUGAAAGAACUCAGGCUGAUACUAAACACAAUUAAGGUUCAAAAUGUAUUUGUAUAUGAUUUUACACAAGAAACUAUGCAAGUAUUCCACUCUUUAGAGUUUACCAUGAUGAGAAUAACUAGAUUCUCUUGCUAAAUAUCUGCUGUCAAGCUUAAUUAAUAAGGUCUGCCACAAGGUUCUAAGCUAGCCAGCAUAAAAGCCAUUGGUUCUUUCAUAGCAAUUGUCUGAACUUUGCAAAUUUGAUGAUAUGUCCAACUGUGAACAGGCUAUUUUUCAGCUUUGCUCCAUGGAAUGGAAGUAUCAACUAUAAACUCUAUUCCUUCUGAAGCCAAUUUGUGCAGUAUUGAAGGGCAUAUAGUUCAGUUCUCGGUUAGACGGUGCUUGAGAAAUCUAUUCAUUUUCCAAGGUACAGAGGAAUUGAUUAUUGGAUUUGAUAAAGUGUGUUUUACAAGAGAAAAUAAAAUCAGCCAAGAAACUGCAAAUGUAUCAUAAAACAUUGAUCUGCUGAGCAAAAGGAAGAGUGUGUCAUAUUUAAUACCAGUCAAUUAAUGAAAAUUCCUGCAUUAUGACCAGACUUUGACAAGCGCAUCUCUUCAAUGCAUACCCUAUAUGCUGGACUGCUCUACUCUCGCAAACAUAGAACUUCUUAUGAGUGGUAAUGUGUACAUACAUGUACUGUGUACUGUGAACAGUGCCUAGAACUGGACAUCAAAGCCAUCAAUCACAUUUAAUUUCUGACAAUCUAUUCCCAAAUUAUGUAUACCAAACCAAUGUAAAGAAUGAUGUGACCAUAAUCACAAGCAAUCACUAAGAAUUUGCAAAUCUGCAUCGAUUACUGAACUAUCAUCACCAUAUUGUGUUCAUCAUUUUGAGUAUGUUGCAUGUCUGAAUACAGUGUUUUUUAAAAUUUCAGAACUAAAAAUUGUUUACAAUUCCAAAUCAUAAAUAGCUGCAUUAUUCUGAAAUAUGGACCAAUAAAUGGAUUUGAUCAUUUUAUUAUACAUACUUAAUCAUGGUGAUGAUACAAAAUGUUGGUGGGGUAAUGAAAUCCACCUUAAACUUGCUUAAUGUGAAGGACUGUAAUAAAACCAUGCUCAUAAUACAUUGCCUUAAGGGAUACUUUGGCAUGUAGCCAUGUUGGUUUCUUUCCACAAUUAAUCUGGCCUCUUGAUGUUUACGUAAAAAUAUAAUUUUAUUCUUGAAAAAUACAAUAGGACCUCAUUUAUAAAGAGCUUGGAUAUAAGAAAACGCUUAUAACAUAGUACUGAAUAAAGUUCUAACUUUUAUUUUCUUUUGUUUUUACCCUGAUAUAACUAGAUUGUGUUAUAAAAAAUUAAUUUUCUUGGUUGCAAGAACCUUAUCAUGAUAAAGAUAACAAAGAAGAAAAUAUGACGAGAAGAUUUCUUUAGCUUUAAUUUAGGUAUUCCAAACAGUUUUUAAAUUAAAUAGAGAUAUACGUAAAAAUUCAUUGUUUAUCAUUAUUAAGCAACUACUGUAAGUGAUUCUGUGUGGUGUACAUUUAAAAAUGACAUCUUAAGAUAUUCCCUUUAUAUAAUUGUUCAAGAGUGUAGUUGUUAUGGAGACUAAGGCCUAGUUCAGACUAGGUGGAUAAACCCGGCUUAACUCACCGGGUUUAUCCACCUGCCAAUCUGAACUAGGUGGCUUAUCUCAAGCCGCGCUGUGUUCCUAUAGUAACUAGGCCUGCCGCGCCACCGUGUGUAACUUUUCUAAAGCCGGGCUUUAAUCGUUGCGAUGGGUCUUGCAUUGACUUCGGGUGAUGAAAUGACCAAUCAGCAUUCAAUUACGUACGCUGUGAGCGAGCGUACGUUUCGCCGAGCAAUGUUUUGAAACACGUUUCCUGGUUACGGUUCAUUAUUAUGCAAAUUCUCGCCUGGCUAAACGUUGAGCCGGGCUUAACUAAAGCCUGGCUUAUCUCCAAGUCUAAACGUAGCUAAAUUGAUUUAGGCAAUCAAUGUUUAGGAAAGUGAUUGCCCCAAGGACAAUAUUCACGGCAUGUAGUUAAGCGCCAGUUAUUGAGAUGGUUUUACCUUAGUAUGUUUCUUUUUUUGUAACUUCAGUUUGAAGGUACUGUUUGUUUCCAAAAGAAAAAAAAAAUAUUUGACUGAA